UGAACGCUAGCUACAGGCUUAACACAUGCAAGUCGAGGGGCAUCAGGAAGAAAGCUUGCUUUCUUUGCUGGCGACCGGCGCACGGGUGAGUAACACGUAUCCAACCUGCCCUUUACUCGGGGAUAGCCUUUCGAAAGAAAGAUUAAUACCCGAUAGCAUAAUGAUUCCGCAUGGUUUCAUUAUUAAAGGAUUCCGGUAAAGGAUGGGGAUGCGUUCCAUUAGGUUGUUGGUGAGGUAACGGCUCACCAAGCCUUCGAUGGAUAGGGGUUCUGAGAGGAAGGUCCCCCACAUUGGAACUGAGACACGGUCCAAACUCCUACGGGAGGCAGCAGUGAGGAAUAUUGGUCAAUGGGCGCUAGCCUGAACCAGCCAAGUAGCGUGAAGGAUGAAGGCUCUAUGGGUCGUAAACUUCUUUUAUAUAAGAAUAAAGUGCAGUAUGUAUACUGUUUUGUAUGUAUUAUAUGAAUAAGGAUCGGCUAACUCCGUGCCAGCAGCCGCGGUAAUACGGAGGAUCCGAGCGUUAUCCGGAUUUAUUGGGUUUAAAGGGAGCGUAGGUGGACUGGUAAGUCAGUUGUGAAAGUUUGCGGCUCAACCGUAAAAUUGCAGUUGAUACUGUCAGUCUUGAGUACAGUAGAGGUGGGCGGAAUUCGUGGUGUAGCGGUGAAAUGCUUAGAUAUCACGAAGAACUCCGAUUGCGAAGGCAGCUCACUGGACUGCAACUGACACUGAUGCUCGAAAGUGUGGGUAUCAAACAGGAUUAGAUACCCUGGUAGUCCACACAGUAAACGAUGAAUACUCGCUGUUUGCGAUAUACAGUAAGCGGCCAAGCGAAAGCAUUAAGUAUUCCACCUGGGGAGUACGCCGGCAACGGUGAAACUCAAAGGAAUUGACGGGGGCCCGCACAAGCGGAGGAACAUGUGGUUUAAUUCGAUGAUACGCGAGGAACCUUACCCGGGCUUAAAUUGCAGUGGAAUGAUGUGGAAACAUGUCAGUGAGCAAUCACCGCUGUGAAGGUGCUGCAUGGUUGUCGUCAGCUCGUGCCGUGAGGUGUCGGCUUAAGUGCCAUAACGAGCGCAACCCUUAUCUUUAGUUACUAACAGGUUAUGCUGAGGACUCUGGAGAGACUGCCGUCGUAAGAUGUGAGGAAGGUGGGGAUGACGUCAAAUCAGCACGGCCCUUACGUCCGGGGCUACACACGUGUUACAAUGGGGGGUACAGAAGGCAGCUAGCGGGUGACCGUAUGCUAAUCCCAAAAGCCUCUCUCAGUUCGGAUCGAAGUCUGCAACCCGACUUCGUGAAGCUGGAUUCGCUAGUAAUCGCGCAUCAGCCACGGCGCGGUGAAUACGUUCCCGGGCCUUGUACACACCGCCCGUCAAGCCAUGGGAGCCGGGGGUACCUGAAGUACGUAACCGCAAGGAUCGUCCUAGGGUAAAACUGGUGACUGGGGCU
This 1449-nucleotide ribosomal RNA is filed under the name uncultured organism. RNAcentral's name for it is "SSU rRNA". It matches the Rfam family "Bacterial small subunit ribosomal RNA". The record is from RNAcentral.